GAUGAACGCUGGCGGCGUGCCUAAUACAUGCAAGUCGAGCGAACGGACGAGAAGCUUGCUUCUCUGAUGUUAGCGGCGGACGGGUGAGUAACACGUGGAUAACCUACCUAUAAGACUGGGAUAACUUCGGGAAACCGGAGCUAAUACCGGAUAAUAUUUUGAACCGCAUGGUUCAAAAGUGAAAGACGGUCUUGCUGUCACUUAUAGAUGGAUCCGCGCUGCAUUAGCUAGUUGGUAAGGUAACGGCUUACCAAGGCAACGAUGCAUAGCCGACCUGAGAGGGUGAUCGGCCACACUGGAACUGAGACACGGUCCAGACUCCUACGGGAGGCAGCAGUAGGGAAUCUUCCGCAAUGGGCGAAAGCCUGACGGAGCAACGCCGCGUGAGUGAUGAAGGUCUUCGGAUCGUAAAACUCUGUUAUUAGGGAAGAACAUAUGUGUAAGUAACUGUGCACAUCUUGACGGUACCUAAUCAGAAAGCCACGGCUAACUACGUGCCAGCAGCCGCGGUAAUACGUAGGUGGCAAGCGUUAUCCGGAAUUAUUGGGCGUAAAGCGCGCGUAGGCGGUUUUUUAAGUCUGAUGUGAAAGCCCGCGGCUCAACCGUGGAGGGUCAUUGGAAACUGGAAAACUUGAGUGCAGAAGAGGAAAGUGGAAUUCCAUGUGUAGCGGUGAAAUGCGCAGAGAUAUGGAGGAACACCAGUGGCGAAGGCGGCUUUCUGGUCUGUAACUGACGCUGAUGUGCGAAAGCGUGGGGAUCAAACAGGAUUAGAUACCCUGGUAGUCCACGCCGUAAACGAUGAGUGCUAAGUGUUAGGGGGUUUCCGCCCCUUAGUGCUGCAGCUAACGCAUUAAGCACUCCGCCUGGGGAGUACGACCGCAAGGUUGAAACUCAAAGGAAUUGACGGGGACCCGCACAAGCGGUGGAGCAUGUGGUUUAAUUCGAAGCAACGCGAAGAACCUUACCAAAUCUUGACAUCCUUUGACAACUCUAGAGAUAGAGCCUUCCCCUUCGGGGGACAAAGUGACAGGUGGUGCAUGGUUGUCGUCAGCUCGUGUCGUGAGAUGUUGGGUUAAGUCCCGCAACGAGCGCAACCCUUAAGCUUAGUUGCCAUCAUUAAGUUGGGCACUCUAAGUUGACUGCCGGUGACAAACCGGAGGAAGGUGGGGAUGACGUCAAAUCAUCAUGCCCCUUAUGAUUUGGGCUACACACGUGCUACAAUGGACAAUACAAAGGGCAGCGAAACCGCGAGGUCAAGCAAAUCCCAUAAAGUUGUUCUCAGUUCGGAUUGUAGUCUGCAACUCGACUACAUGAAGCUGGAAUCGCUAGUAAUCGUAGAUCAGCAUGCUACGGUGAAUACGUUCCCGGGUCU
RNAcentral lists this ribosomal RNA (1372 nucleotides) under uncultured bacterium. Its description in RNAcentral is "bacterial SSU rRNA". It matches the Rfam family "Bacterial small subunit ribosomal RNA", at positions 28 to 1381 of the family's 1533-position model. The record is from RNAcentral.